UAAGAUGUAGUUUAAUGAGAAUACUUGUUUUGGGUAUAAGAGGUUUUGUUUAAAACAUUUUAA
RNAcentral lists this transfer RNA (63 nucleotides) under Neomazocraes dorosomatis. RNAcentral describes it as "tRNA-Pro". Lineage: Eukaryota; Metazoa; Platyhelminthes; Monogenea; Mazocraeidea; Mazocraeidae. The record is from RNAcentral.